RNAcentral lists this ribosomal RNA (497 nucleotides) under uncultured bacterium. RNAcentral describes it as "partial 16S ribosomal RNA". It matches the Rfam family "Bacterial small subunit ribosomal RNA", at positions 28 to 507 of the family's 1533-position model. The record is from RNAcentral.
GAUGAACGCUGGCGGCGUGCCUAAUACAUGCAAGUCGAGCGAACAGACGAGGAGCUUGCUCCUCUGACGUUAGCGGCGGACGGGUGAGUAACACGUGGAUAACCUACCUAUAAGACUGGGAUAACUUCGGGAAACCGGAGCUAAUACCGGAUAAUAUAUUGAACCGCAUGGUUCAAUAGUGAAAGACGGUUUUGCUGUCACUUAUAGAUGGAUCCGCGCCGCAGUAGCUAGUUGGUAAGGUAACGGCUUACCAAGGCAACGAUGCGUAGCCGACCUGAGAGGGUGAACGGCCACACUGGAACUGAGACACGGUCCAGACUCCUACGGGAGGCAGCAGUAGGGAAUCUUCCGCAAUGGGCGAAAGCCUGACGGAGCAACGCCGCGUGAGUGAUGAAGGUCUUCGGAUCGUAAAACUCUGUUAUUAGGGAAGAACAAAUGUGUAAGUAACUAUGCACGUCUUGACGGUACCUAAUCAGAAAGCCACGGCUAACUACGUG